RNAcentral lists this ribosomal RNA (1476 nucleotides) under uncultured prokaryote. Its description in RNAcentral is "partial 16S ribosomal RNA". It matches the Rfam family "Bacterial small subunit ribosomal RNA". The record is from RNAcentral.
AGAGUUUGAUCCUGGCUCAGGAUGAACGUUAGCGGUGUGCCUAAUGCAUGCAAGUCGAACGAGAAGCUUUGGAUUCGUCUGAAGUGGACAGUGGCGGACGGGUGAGUAACACGUAGGUGACGUACCCCAGAGAGAGGGACAACCAUUGGAAACGAUGGCUAAUACCUCGGAUGUUAUACUGUUUAGAAAGGUAUGACUAAACCUCCGGUGCUCUGGGAGUGGCCUGCGGCCCAUCAGCUAGUUGGUAAGGUAAUGGCUUACCAAGGCUAAGACGGGUAGGGGGCGUGAGAGCGCGAUCCCCCACACUGGUACUGAGACACGGACCAGAUACCUGCGGGUAGCAGCAGCAAGGAAUAUUGCGCAAUGGGCGAAAGCCUGACGCAGCAACACCGCGUGGAGGAUGAAUGUCUUCGGAUUGUAAACUCCUUUUCUGGGGGAAGAGAAAGGACGGUACCCCAGGAAUAAGUCUCGGCUAACUACGUGCCAGCAGCCGCGGUAAAACGUAGGAGGCAAACGUUAUCCGGAUUUAUUGGGCGUAAAGCGCAUGCAGGCGGUUUUUCAAGUCGGACGUGAAAGCUCCUAGCUCAACUAGGAGAGGCCGUUCGAAACUGGAAGACUUGAGGAUGGUAGAGGAGAGUGGAAUUCCCGGUGUAGUGGUGAAAUGCGUAGAUAUCGGGAGGAACACCAGUGGCGAAAGCGGCUCUCUGGGCCAUUCCUGACGCUCAGAUGCGAAAGCUAGGGGAGAGAACGGGAUUAGAAACCCCGGUAUUCCUAGCCGUAAACGAUGUCAACUAGGUGUAGGAGGUCAUUUACCCCUUCUGUACUGCAGCUAACGCGUUAAGUUGACCGCCUGGGGACUACGGCCGCAAGGCUAAAACUCAAAGGAAUUGACGGGGACCCGCACAAGCAGCGGAGCGUGUGGUUUAAUUCGAGGCUACGCGAAGAACCUUACCAGGGCUUGACAUGUACGUGGUAGAGAACUGAAAAGGGAUCGACCCUUCGGGGAGCGUACAGAGGUGCUGCAUGGCUGUCGUCAGCUCGUGUCGUGAGAUGUUGGGUUAAGUCCCGUAACGAGCGCAACCCUUGUCCUUAUUUUCCAGCACGAAUGGUGGGAACUCUAAGGAGACUGCCGGUGACAAACCGGAGGAAGGUGGGGACGACGUCAAGUCAUCAUGGCCCUUACGGGGUGGGCUACACACGUGCUACAAUGGUCGGUACAGAGGGUUGCAAUGCCGCGAGGUGGAGCUAAUCUCAGAAAGCCGAUCGUAGUCCGGAUUGCAGUCUGCAACUCGACUGCAUGAAGUUGGAAUCGCUAGUAAUCGCGAAUCAGAAUGUCGCGGUGAAUACGUUCCCGGGCCUUGUACACACCGCCCGUCACACCAUGGGAGUGGGUUGCAAAAGAAGUGGGUAGUCUAACCUUCGGGAGGGCGCUCACCACUUUGUGAUUCAUGACUGGGGUGAAGUCGUAACAAAGGU